CGCCUGUUUAUCAAAAACAUAGCCUUUAGCCAAACAAGUAUUGAAGGUAAUGCCUGCCCAGUGAAAUCACUUUCAACGGCCGCGGUACCCUAACCGUGCAAAGGUAGCGUAAUCAUUUGUCCACUAAUUAUGGACCUGUAUGAAAGGCCACAUGAGAAUCUAACUGUCUCUUGUAACUAAUUUAUAAAACUGAUCUUCCAGUUCAAAAGCUAGAAUAUCUAUAUAAGACGAGAAGACCCUGUGAAGCUUA
RNAcentral lists this ribosomal RNA (250 nucleotides) under Typhlops sp. SBH-2014a. RNAcentral's name for it is "partial 16S ribosomal RNA". It matches the Rfam family "Bacterial large subunit ribosomal RNA", at positions 1797 to 2102 of the family's 2925-position model. Lineage: Eukaryota; Metazoa; Chordata; Lepidosauria; Squamata; Typhlopidae. The record is from RNAcentral.